RNAcentral lists this unclassified non-coding RNA (521 nucleotides) under Candida albicans. Its description in RNAcentral is "sequence contains 18S rRNA gene, ITS1, 5.8S rRNA gene, ITS2, 28S rRNA gene". The stretch from base 153 to 306 matches the Rfam family "5.8S ribosomal RNA". Lineage: Eukaryota; Fungi; Ascomycota; Pichiomycetes; Serinales; Debaryomycetaceae. The record is from RNAcentral.
GGAAGGAUCAUUACUGAUUUGCUUAAUUGCACCACAUGUGUUUUUCUUUGAAACAAACUUGCUUUGGCGGUGGGCCCAGCCUGCCGCCAGAGGUCUAAACUUACAACCAAUUUUUUAUCAACUUGUCACACCAGAUUAUUACUAAUAGUCAAAACUUUCAACAACGGAUCUCUUGGUUCUCGCAUCGAUGAAGAACGCAGCGAAAUGCGAUACGUAAUAUGAAUUGCAGAUAUUCGUGAAUCAUCGAAUCUUUGAACGCACAUUGCGCCCUCUGGUAUUCCGGAGGGCAUGCCUGUUUGAGCGUCGUUUCUCCCUCAAACCGCUGGGUUUGGUGUUGAGCAAUACGACUUGGGUUUGCUUGAAAGACGGUAGUGGUAAGGCGGGAUCGCUUUGACAAUGGCUUAGGUCUAACCAAAAACAUUGCUUGCGGCGGUAACGUCUACCACGUAUAUCUUCAAACUUUGACCUCAAAUCAGGUAGGACUACCCGCUGAACUUAAGCAUAUCAAUAAGCGGGGAGGG